AUUGUUAGAUAAGAAGAUCCCCCCAUUCCGAUUAGAUAUUGUGUGGGUUCAUCGUAUCCACACAAACGUCCCUUUUGACUUUUGAGUCACCGUCACCAUGCCGAGAAGAAUCAUGUCACAGAUGUUUCACUUCGUCGAUCGAUAAUCUCUACCGCCGAACCAUCGACUUCUAUCUAGCAAUUAUCAACAGACCCGUCGGCUUCUAUCUUUCCACGAUUACCAGAACCGUCGGCUUCUAUUUUGCCGCUAAUCGAUCAACCAUUUGAGCUUCUUCUUUCGUUAUACCUGUACACUUCAGCUCCAUAUCAGUAGCUCAUCAAGUCUAUCAAGUAUGGAAGUUGAUGCUGUCGUACCAAAAGGAUCCUGGUUUGGAUGCUUGGAUUUGCUAACUCGUUUUAAAAGCUUAAUGUUAUUAAGGUAUGUGAAUCCAUCAAUCUUUUUGUUUGUUUUGUGAUGGAUGUUUUUGAGUGAAAGACAUUAGAGCAUCUCCAUUGGUGGUAGUUUAAUCAAUUUUUUAGAAACUUUCAGAAUUAAAAGUAAUUAAAAAAAUGAAAACAGCGCUAAAAACUUAACCAUCGAUGCUAAUUUAAGAGUUUUUAGAGUUGUAUCUUAACUAUAACGUGUCGGUAUGUGAGUGGCUAGGGAAUUUUUUUUUGUUUCUUUGUUCUUUGCCGUCGUCUCGUCUAUAUCGCUGGCGUCGACUACAAAGUGGAGACCAUAGUAAGAGCUCAUACAAGAGAAAUAUAACCACAGUGGAAUCUAACGAGGAAGAAGUUAAAAUAGCAAUGAAUAUGGCUGAGAAGAAACUUUCGGAGAAUGAUUACAAUGGAGCGAAGAUAUGCGUUGACAAGGCUAAGAAUUUGUAUCCGAACCUUGAUUGGUUUGAAGUUAACUUUGUUACGAGGUUCGUAUCUCCUUCUUUUAUGUUGGUGAUUUUGGGUUCCUAUCUUAGUUUGAUCGAUGAAUGGACUUGUACAUCUGUGGGAAAAAGAGUUAACAAUGUUAGGAGGACUUUGUUGAAUAAAUAAACGCUUAUAAUUGAGGUCUGAGUAUAGAUAGAUCGAAGCAGGCUAAGAUUAACUUCCUAGUUGUUCUGCUUAGUAAUCAUACAUACUCAUGUCUUUUUAGUUUGAAUGAUCGGUUGUAUGUUUCUUACAUUGAAUGAGUUUCAUGUUCAAGAAGCAAUUGUUCUUCUGUUAAAGCCACAGAGAAAGACAUCUCGUAAUAUAUACAUAUAUUUUCACUAUCUGUCUCCAUAUUUUUCUACUCUAGCUAUGGCGCCCAUUGAGAUUCAUUGCAGGUUGUGCUUUCAUCUUGGGAGUCAGUCGUUGAGUUGCAGCCAAGACUAGAUGAGAUAUCGAAAUGCCCUUGUGAAGGAAUGAUGGUGACUGCCGCUGCUUCUCCAUUUGAUUUCUGUAGCCGCUACUUUGCCCCCAGAUUUGGGAUCAAUGAGCUCUUUUUGCUUUUUUACUUAAAAAGGACCCUAGCUAUGCACAAGUGUGAUUUCUUGGCCUACCAGCACCAAAGAAUAAUAGAAGAUUCAGAAAGAAUGAAGCACCAACCGUAAUUUCUCCAAAGCAAUAUAAGAGAAGAUUCAGAAAGGCAAGACAAUGACUACUUACUUCCUCAUGGUCCCUGAUCAAUGGUCUCCGCCUACUGUCGUUGCUAAUGACUCCAGAUCUGAUCAACCUGAAGAAACCUCUCAAGCCGGUACACAAACAGAGUGAUAUAAGGAAUCAUCAUAUUGUAAAGUGUUUUGGGUCUUGUAUAGAUUUUGGUAUUAGGGAAGACAAUGAAGAAGAGAAGAAGUAGAUAUAUACUUGCAUACAUGUAAUUGUAAUAGUUUAGGAUCAAUCAUUGGACCCAUGAAAUUUCAAAGUUUCUUAAUGAAUUGCUUAACAUAUUAUUUUUCAA
This is a non-coding RNA of Camelina sativa (false flax), 1914 nucleotides long. NCBI's taxonomy places the organism in Eukaryota, Viridiplantae, Streptophyta, Magnoliopsida, Brassicales, Brassicaceae. The record is from RefSeq and is a predicted model, not a curated record.